Molecule: long non-coding RNA, 364 nt
Organism: Rana temporaria (common frog)
Lineage: Eukaryota; Metazoa; Chordata; Amphibia; Anura; Ranidae
Exons: 2
Source: RefSeq, a predicted model, not a curated record
UGCCUGUCCCCCCUCCUCCCUUUCCUUUCAACCUUAGUUUGUUUAACUUUCUCUUACCUCCUGAGAUUGCAGUCGGACGCUUCUGUACACAGUCAGACUACGUUUCCCAGGGUGAUGUCACGUAUUACCUGCAGUAUUAUAAAGUGUAACACUCUUUCAUAACUGUCCUAUUUAUGUUUAUGUUGACAGGCAUGCUACUAGAGUGUGUUGGUAUUAGACGGAAACUUGAUGUACGCUGGUUUAAGAUUGUGUCCUGACUUUUUCCCUAUAUACUGCAAAUGAUACUGAUCUGUCUGUGUGCAAUUAUAUGAUUGUAUCUCUAUUUUUAUACAAUAAACUUGUUUCUGAUUUAAAAAAAAAAAAA